Molecule: ribosomal RNA, 292 nt
Filed under: uncultured bacterium
Lineage: Bacteria
Description: partial 16S ribosomal RNA
Source: RNAcentral
GGACUACCGGGGUAUCUAAUCCUGUUUGCUCCCCACGCUUUCGUGCAUGAGCGUCAGUGUUAGCCCAGGGGGCUGCCUUCGCCAUCGGUGUUCCUCCACAUAUCUACGCAUUUCACUGCUACACGUGGAAUUCCACCCCCCUCUGCCACACUCUAGUCUCCCAGUUUCAAACGCAGUUCCCAGGUUAAGCCCGGGGCUUUCACAUCUGACUUAAGAAACCGCCUGCGCACGCUUUACGCCCAGUAAUUCCGAUUAACGCCUGCACCCUACGUAUUACCGCGGCUGCUGGCAC